GCUUUUCUCAUUGUAGUUUAAGGCACACAACCAGCUUCUAUCAAGUUGCCAAGAACAGAAUAUUUGUAGGGUGUACGAGUCUAAAAUCUUUAAAGGGGCAUAGAAUGGGAGUGUCCCCAACAGAGCAUGGCGAAGCAGCUCCGCAAGCACCUGCCUUUACAGACGCGACUGAUUCCUGCCAACAUUCAGCUCAACUUUCCACUUUUGUACUACG
RNAcentral lists this unclassified non-coding RNA (214 nucleotides) under Hevea brasiliensis (rubber tree). Lineage: Eukaryota; Viridiplantae; Streptophyta; Magnoliopsida; Malpighiales; Euphorbiaceae. The record is from RNAcentral.